GGGCGCUUGGGACGGCACCCCCAAAUCCCCCGCCACUGAUGCCCGGCUCUGCAGCUGCAGAAAAGAGGCGCCAGCGUGCUCGGUGCCACGUCGGAAUUGGCUCCUGGGACGCUGCAGCUGCCUGCGCGACCUCGUGGUCCCCACGCACGCCCUGCCCCCGGGCGGCCCGCGAGCCGCGGAGGAGCCAAGAGCAGGGAUGCGCGCCCUCCCUCCCGCUCGGGUCUUCAAGGGCAGGGACCCCUGGCCACAGUAAGGCUUCCGGAGCUGGGCUGAGCCGGGACAGACCCAGCUGACACUUUAAUGGGGUGCAAGGAGUGCAAAGAAGGGGAGGCCAGGGAAAGAAGAGGAGUGGCGGAGCGAGGCCGGUAGCUGCAAGGAGGUGGCGAAGGACCCUCCUUCCCUGGGGCCGGAGUUGGGACCCCGGAUCGCCUUAACCCUUUGCAUUCCAAUGGAAAUUCUUGUCUCCCAACGCGUGAGCCUCUCUGCAGCUCCGGAAGAUGUGGGAUGGAAAAGUACAUCCCGGGCCGGGCAGCCUUUCCCAGGCAAAGAAGUUACCUGUGUUCCCAGAAAGGCAACGGAUUUCUGGCGAGCGCGCAGGGCUGGGAGAAGACAGCGGCUAUGUUGCUAAGGCUGACAGCGAUGUGAAAUGUCGUCUGGUUUUCAGGGUGAUGGAAAUUUUCAGACCUCAAACUUUUCUGUCGAAAGCUGACUUAAAUGUUUUUAACACUUAUGUGAAUAAUGUCCUCCCUGUCCCUGGCCUGUUCGAGGACCCUCAGCGUUCACCGAAUCGCGCCAGUGCAACGUACCUUGUUCAGUUCUUGGUCAUAAAGUUGUCCUCAGCCUGUCUGUGUGGUCCCGGAGGGUCGGUGGCGGGCAGUUUCCAAAACUGAGGUAAUAGGAGAUCAGAUGAAUUUGAGGCGACCGGCCAAAAAAAAUAAAAAAUUUAAAAACAACAUUUAAAAUGAAUAGGGGAAUCUUAAAUCUUUAGGUUCCCCCCAAUUAAAAAAAAAAAUCACUGGUAUGUUUUCUUAAUAUUUCCGUUGCACUUCAAUCUUCUAACUCUUAAAAGAAAAUUUUGUCUGUGCUUUAAAAAUAAAUGAACUUUAUUUUUUGCUCUUGUU
RNAcentral lists this long non-coding RNA (1121 nucleotides) under Sus scrofa (pig). RNAcentral's name for it is "lncRNA (ENSSSCG00035060724.1)". The record is from RNAcentral. Lineage: Eukaryota; Metazoa; Chordata; Mammalia; Artiodactyla; Suidae.